UUGACCUCGAAUCAGGUAGGAAUACCCGCUGAACUUAACAUUAAAACCCCGG
Molecule: ribosomal RNA, 52 nt
Filed under: Erysiphe sp.
Lineage: Eukaryota; Fungi; Ascomycota; Leotiomycetes; Helotiales; Erysiphaceae
Description: partial 28S ribosomal RNA
Source: RNAcentral